AGGAAUAUUGGACAAUGGGCGAGAGCCUGAUCCAGCCAUGCCGCGUGCAGGAAGACGGUCCUAUGGAUUGUAAACUGCUUUUAUACGGGAAGAAACACCCCCUCGUGAGGGGGCUUGACGGUACCGGCAGAAAAAGGAUCGGCUCACCCCGUGCCCGCAGCCGCGGUAAUACGGAGGAUCCAAGCGUUAUCCGGAAUCAUUGGGUUUAAAGGGUCCGUAGGUGGAUAAUUAAGUCAGAGGUGAAAUCCUGCAGCUCAACUGUAGAAUUGCCUUUGAUACUGGUUAUCUUGAGUUAUUAUGAAGUAGUUAGAAUAUGUAGUGUAGCGGUGAAAUGCAUAGAUAUUACAUAGAAUACCAAUUGCGAAGGCAGAUUACUAAUAAUGGACUGACACUGAUGGACGAAAGCGUGGGGAGCGAA
RNAcentral lists this ribosomal RNA (418 nucleotides) under uncultured bacterium. RNAcentral describes it as "bacterial SSU rRNA". It matches the Rfam family "Bacterial small subunit ribosomal RNA", at positions 357 to 772 of the family's 1533-position model. The record is from RNAcentral.